This is a non-coding RNA of Pelodiscus sinensis (Chinese soft-shelled turtle), 545 nucleotides long. The record is from RefSeq and is a predicted model, not a curated record. NCBI's taxonomy places the organism in Eukaryota, Metazoa, Chordata, Testudines, Trionychidae.
CGGCCCUCGCCACGUUGGACGUAGUGCCAGUGGGACAUUCCAAAGGAGUGGCGCCAGCGCAAGAGGAGGCAGCUUGUACUCUGGAGCGGAAGGAGGCAGAAGUGAGCAGCGGACAAAGAUUUGACCCUUUUCAUCGAUUAUACAUUCAAACAGUUUAUAAAGGUGUCUCAGUAUUGUUACCUCCAUGUCACAGAUAGUGGAAGUGCUGCUGCACCAGUGAUGGACAGGAAUCUGCCUAAGAAUAUCAGUCUGCCCCCAACUGGUUACAUCGCUGCCAUAGGAGGCUGAAAGGGAGAGAAUAUUGAACCUCUAAACUCUGCCGGUCCUCAGAUGUUGCUUAUAAUGUGCAUGCAAAGUAUCAAAAGCUGUACAGUGCAACGUAGGUGCUAACGCCAUUCUCAGUUCUUAUGCAAGUACAUACUGCACCUGCUUCAUUAUUGUACUAAUAGCAAAAGAAGAAUGAAAUAGUUUUCAGAAAACAGAGCUCAUUGACUAUUGAUGCAGUGCAUUACAAUAAAUGAGCUAUAGAUCAUCAAUCCUACUGU